Long non-coding RNA from Dermacentor andersoni, 432 nucleotides. RefSeq lists it as uncharacterized. NCBI's taxonomy places the organism in Eukaryota, Metazoa, Arthropoda, Arachnida, Ixodida, Ixodidae. The record is from RefSeq and is a predicted model, not a curated record.
AAGAACGAUUGCCUUCUAUAUAGCCGAAGGAAAGAGCCCCGACACAUUCCUGUUCAUGGAAGGCUCAGACGAUGCCACACCAGAAGAAGGGAAAACUUACUAUACUGACUACAAGAACUGCGGAGUCCUGGACAUGCCUUAUCAUGGACGUCAGUGCAUAUUGUGGGCCGCAGAAACCACUAAAGAUGCGCUUCCUCAAGAAUGCCUGGACCAGUUUGAAAAAUAUUGCGGCGUAGGGGUGCCUAAGUACACGCACGACCUAUGUGCGGACAGUGAGAUCUCCAACUGGUGAUGCAAGCUUGAAAAAGAGUGUACAAAGCCUUACCCGCUGUACGUAAGCGAUGUCGACCUUGAAGCAGCUCAGAACCUGAGAUCGUCAAUGCACGGUGGUUAAGAACGCUGGUUUGCCAAAAAUAAACUUUUUUUUCUGGA